GGGCCUCUAAGACCAAAAUAGCCACUCGUACACUGAAUAUAGGCCGACAAGGCCAUGCAAUCUUUUACGUACAUGAUAUCUAUCUACAAGCCUCUAAGAAUACAUAAUUGUCAUAAAGGUCGGGACAGAGCCCCGACAUACCAAACAAUACACAUCUAAAUCGUACUAACCAAAAAAGCAACUCCGGAGCAAAUGGAGCGCACCAACAUUUUUCGCUGAGCUAAUAGCCUACUUAGAGGACCUCGACCUGUCUAUCGGGACCUGCAGGCAUGAAACGUAGCGUCCCCAGGUAAAAGGGACGUCAGUAUAAAUAAUGUACCGAGUAUGUAAGGAAUAAAAAUCAGUAAGUAAUAGACAUGAGAGAAACAUGGAGUAAAAGACUCGACAUAUACGUCUGCAUAGCUCUGUGAAUCAUUUCAUUUUUAUAAUGUCAUGCAUAUGCGUAUAAAUAUCAUACCAUGCAUAGGUAUAUGCGUUCAUAACAUCAUCAAGCCUCUGAGGGCAUCCAUCAUAUCAUUUCGGCCACUGUGGGCAAAUCAUCAACGUAUACCAUCUGAUCAGGUGGUGGUGCGUAUAUAACGCCGUAACCUUUUUCCAUAUCCCAUAUACAUAUAUAUACAUAUAUACGCGUAUAUAACGACAUCUGGUCAUGAGUCAAUGUAAAUGAAUGCAAUGCAUGAUAAGUACGUCAAUAAAAUCUUUCGAAGUGUCAUAAGACCAUUAUGCCUCUGAUUAAUAAGAUUUCUCGGAAUGUCAUAAAAAUAAUAAGCCUGUCGGAUAGACUUUAACAAAUACAUAUUUUUCUGAGACCCAUGAACAGAAGAUAUAAUAAUAAUUCAUAUGGGGAAUCAAUAAUAUAGACACCCCUAAUAUUUCUAUGAAUAGUCAUUUAUGAAAAUUGUGCAUUUUCUCCUUUAGUUCGUGUCGCAUAGAUCGUGCCAAAAAGAAUGAAGGGAUAGCCUUAACAUACCUGGAGUAGGGAAAAAUCCGUCUAAUAUUUUUGAGAAAGAUUGCACCGUACUUCCCUUUGCAAAAUCUCACGUUGAUGUUCUGAUCAUUGCAAAUCACGCAUGCAAUUUCUCUGCAACGUGAUGCUUCAUCUUCUAAUCUUAAAUGGGGAUAAGAAAACAUUAUCUUGCAUUGUUAAGGUGAAUGUAUUUUGGCAAUUCACGUGUAGAAGGCUAAAGAAAAUGUUAAUCCUUGUCAUGCUCUAAUAAUGUAACACCUUUCUACAUAUUGUGUGAGUCACUU
This 1251-nucleotide long non-coding RNA is filed under the name Nicotiana tabacum (common tobacco). RNAcentral's name for it is "long non-coding RNA (NTAB_LNC006526)". The record is from RNAcentral. Lineage: Eukaryota; Viridiplantae; Streptophyta; Magnoliopsida; Solanales; Solanaceae.